UUCGCAAUGCCCGAAAGGGUGACGAUGCGACGCCGCGUGAGCGAAGAAGGCCCUAGGGUUGUAAAGCUCUGUCGAGGGUUAUGAAAUAUAGAUGGGUUAAUACCCCAUUUAUUUGACAAAAGCCCAAAAGGAAGCCACGGCUAACUCUGUGCCAGCAGCCGCGGUAAUACAGAGGUGGCGAGCGUUGUUCGGUAUUAUUGGGCGUAAAGAGCACGUAGGUGGUUUUGUAAGUCAGGUGUGAAAGCCUUCUGUUCAAAGGAAGAACGGCAUCUGAAACUGCAGAUCUUGAGUGUAGGAGGGGAGAGUGGAGCUUCUGGUGGAGCGGUGAAAUGCGUAGAUAUCAGAAGGAACGUCGGCGGCGAAAGCGACUCUCUGGCCUAUUACUGACACUGAGGUGCGAAAGUUAGGGGAGCAAACGGGAUUAGAUACCCCGGUAGUCCUAACCGUAAACGAUGGGCACUAAGUAGAGGGGUUUU
RNAcentral lists this ribosomal RNA (476 nucleotides) under uncultured anaerobic ammonium-oxidizing bacterium. RNAcentral describes it as "bacterial SSU rRNA". It matches the Rfam family "Bacterial small subunit ribosomal RNA", at positions 365 to 832 of the family's 1533-position model. The record is from RNAcentral.